This is a long non-coding RNA of Cheilinus undulatus (humphead wrasse), 3089 nucleotides long. RefSeq lists it as uncharacterized. The record is from RefSeq and is a predicted model, not a curated record. The transcript has 3 exons. Lineage: Eukaryota; Metazoa; Chordata; Actinopteri; Labriformes; Labridae.
UCAGAGACGUGCCUCUGUUAUUGAUCAUAUCGUUUACACAUGCACAAACAGCUGUUAAAUACAGAAAAUGCCAACUCGAAAUAAUUUCACUCCCAUCACUUUGGCGCUCCUAUGCGCCGCAUAUAAUGCAUACCCACUUUUUUGCGCCACAAACAAGACAUAAAAAAUGGGUAUGCUCAACACGCGGACAACAAAAUCUACCCGCGGCAGUACGUCAAAAGUAGCCCAAUUCCGCGGUAAAACCGCGUACCUGGCAACCCUGCUUCGCCGCUUUUUUGGGCGGAUGAUCUCUGCAACGAAAUGCAUUAGUUUUGUUUAUUAUCAUGUACAUUGUUAUUGGGUUUUUUGACGGGCGGGCAGUAAAAGUCAGUUAUGUACCCGUGUGCCAAAGGUACACAAAACGAAGUUACCCCACGUAAGUUAAUGUGCACCCCCUUCCAGACCGGGACUGCAUCAGUGCGGGCGGAGAGAGGACUGAAAGCCGUAGACUGUCAACAUGUGAAAAGAAAAAGAGCAUCAUUGAAGCAAAAUACCCACAAAGUAAUCGUUUGAAGGUAAGUUAAACAUUUACGUACAGUUGCCGUUUAUAAUUACAUGCGUUUUGCAAAAUCACACGUUUUUUUACGUUACAACCCCGUUUUCCCAUCUGAAACUUGAGGGUCUGACUAAUACCUGAAAAAAUCAUUACCUUCCCUUGAGGUUCUAAUGCAAUGGAAAGGAUCACCGCUCCAGUAAGUAGGACCAACAAGAGGCCAGCUUUGCAAGGAGACAAUAAAUAAUCUGCUAAAAUCAUUUAUGUUUUCUGUACCGUACGAUAUUUUGCAAAAAAAAGGUAACUCUAUUGUAGCCAGAUGGGAGUAGAUAACAUUGUGUAUGAUAGACAACAUUAAAUAGAAUUUGAAUUUUAACCUAGCUAGCUAUGUCCCAGAAUCAGCGCUUUUAGCAUGUAGUUUCAUAAGUUUAUGGCUAGCAGUGUUAACAUUGUAAUCAAAUACAAUCUUAUCAGAGUUUAUAUUUGACAUCAGUUACACAUUUUUCCUAGUAUUGAUUAUUGUAUUAUUUGUCAGAUUGGCAAUUGCAGAUAUUCAGAAUAACGAACUGGUAGAAAAUGUAUUUGAAGUUAAGUGAAACAUUAUUCCUCCUAGUCAGAAUUCAAUUUAAGAUUUUAUUAAAUAUUUGCGAAUUUUAAGGGGCCUUUUUAUCAUUUAAAAGCUGACUAGAUAUUAAUUACAGAUAUAUGUAAUUGAAUUUGUCCCAGUCACAAUUAACAUUUCAGAUAUGUGGAAUUAUUUAUUUACUUAAACAUGUUUUGUGACAAAAUUUGGAACAUUUCCAGAUUCAUGUCAAGUGAGGACAUUCAAUACAAAUUAGAUAAAGCAAGAUUGAAUAUCUAUUUGUACACAUACAUCAUAUGUGCAUCUACCUAUGCAUACACAUGUUUGUUCAUACAGACAUGUCCCAUUAAAAACAAACAUUUACUUAUCUAGCUGAGAUGACAUGAUGUUUUUUCCUUGUUUUUACAGCUUUAGCAUGAUGGAAACUUGUUUGUGGUGGGGGGAUGGAAGUAAGCAAAACCAACUAAGACCUUACAGAAGAGGUGGAGGAAACAACUGAUGGCCAGCCACAAGAUGAGGAAGAGGUCCCUGUUCAACCAAAGAAGACAAAGAAAACUGUCAAAUGUUCACCAAGGAAACAAUGGUCAUUAACAGGGGCGUUGGAGUUGGCCAAACUUAAAGAACAAACCAAGAUGGAUCGACAGAAAAUUGAACACCUUGACGACCGCAUUAAAUACCUGGAGGAGGCCAACAGGGAGCUCAGAAAUGACAAGGACUUCCUGCAUGCCCAGAUUAAGGGGUCUUCUCAAGCACCUGCAUUUUCAGGAAUACCAGGCUCUAGAAAGACUGCUCAGGUUGUUUCUUCAUCGUCAUCAUCUCCUGCCCCCUCUUCAGACUUCACCUCCUCUUCAUCCUCCGAAGAAGAGGAGAAGAAGAAAAAGAAGAAGAGGAAGUCCAAGGGACACACUGAAUCUCACAGCCAUUCAAGAGGAAGGCAGAGGCAUUGAUCAUCUGUAAUCAGAGGGUUUCUUACCCUAAUGUUGGCCAGUAUUUACCUGUCACCUAUAGUUAGUAUUUGUAUAAAAAGCAGCAACUAAAACAGGCUUAGUUAAAAUUCUCAAAGAAGGCCUAAUUGCUCCUUCAUUAUGUCACUGUCCCACACUGAUUUUUAUAUUUCAGUAUUUUAAAAAAAUCACUCUGCUUUACCUUAUAUUAGAAUAUAUUAAUAUAUUAGAAUAUAUUUAUAACCCCUGAAGUAGAUUAGAAAGGAUUCAACUCACCUUGUGGGUUCAUUGUGCAUUGUCCACCCAGCUGAAAUGCUGAAAACAUUUUUUGGUUUUGUUUGUCUUUGCUAAGUGACAACAACCGAUGGAGUCAUCCGCCGCUAUGAAAAAGUCCUGAGGAAAUUUGCCAAGUGUGGCUCCAUGAAAAUCGCCUUCACCGAGAUGAACAUUGACCGCAACACAAUUGCGAGAACAGCUGUAAUUGCUGAGCUUGCAAUCACAUUUCCAGACGCCUUCCAGGAGCUGCUGCCCAGUGAAGAAGAUCACAAGAAGAUCUCUGAAUUUGCAGAGCACUGCAGGAGUGCUAUUACCAAUGAGAUGGCUGAAACAAUCACAGCAAAGAAAAAAAGGGGGAUGUAUAAUGUAUAAGUACACUUGAGGGAACAUACAUGAUCAGAGAUGUUGAGAGACAUUUUUUUUUUUUAAGAAAAGCAACACUUUUGUUUUUAUAGAGUGGCAACACUGGUAAGUUACGCCAUUAUAGUGGUGUCUUGGGAAGUUUUGCUUUAACCCAAGUACGGUUAAGAAUAUGUCGGGGCCCUCUUUGGAAGUAAUCCUGUGGGGGUUUUUUAUAGGUGUAAUAAAAGAAAAUACAUUUCUUGGCUUUGAUGUUACUUUUGAUAAGGUAUUAAUGUGGUUGGUGGCAGUGUGAUGGUCUGGGGCUGCUUUGCUGCUUCAGGACCUGGACCACUUGCUGUGACUGAUGGAACAAUGAAUUCUGCUGUCUACCAGAAAAUCUUGAAGGCCAACG